ACUUAAGCAUAUCAAUAAGCGGAGGAAAAGAAACCAACAGGGAUUGCCCCAGUAACGGCGAGUGAAGCGGCAACAGCUCAAAUUUGAAAUCUGGUCCCCCCGCGGGGCCCGAGUUGUAAUUUGAAGAGGAUGCUUCUGGCAAGGUGCCGUCCGAGUUCCCUGGAACGGGACGCCGCAGAGGGUGAGAGCCCCGUACGGUCGGACGCCGAGCCUCUGUGAAGCUCCUUCGACGAGUCGAGUAGUUUGGGAAUGCUGCUCAAAAUGGGAGGUAAACCCCUUCUAAAGCUAAAUACCGGCCAGAGACCGAUAGCGCACAAGUAGAGUGAUCGAAAGAUGAAAAGCACUUUGAAAAGAGAGUUAAAAAGCACGUGAAAUUGUUGAAAGGGAAGCGCUUGCGACCAGACUCGCGCCCGUCGGAUCAGCCGUCGCUCGUCGGCGGCGCACUCCGGCGGGCUCGGGCCAGCAUCAGUUCGCCUCGGGGGGAGAAAGGCGGCGGGAAUGUGGCUCUACGGAGUGUUAUAGCCCGCCGCGUAAUACCCCCGGGCGGACUGAGGACCGCGCGUAUGCAAGGAUGCUGGCGUAAUGGUCGUCAGCGACCCGUCUUGAAACACGGACCAAGGAGUCGUCCUAAUAUGCGAGUGUACGGGUGUCAAACCCCUGCGCGUAAUGAAAGUGAACGGAGGUGAGAGCUUCGGCGCAUCAUCGACCGAUCCUGAUGUUCUCGGAUGGAUUUGAGUAAGAGCAUAUUGGGCCGGACCCGAAAGAAGGUGAACUAUGCCUGUGUAGGGUAAAGCCAGAGGAAACUCUGGUGGAGGCUCGCAGCGGUUCUGACGUGCAAAUCGAUCGUCAAACAUGGGCAUGGGGGCGAAAGACUAAUCGAACCUUCUAGUAGCUGGUUUCCGCCGAA
RNAcentral lists this ribosomal RNA (907 nucleotides) under Microascus gracilis. RNAcentral's name for it is "LSU rRNA". It matches the Rfam family "Eukaryotic large subunit ribosomal RNA", at positions 32 to 965 of the family's 3401-position model. The record is from RNAcentral. Lineage: Eukaryota; Fungi; Ascomycota; Sordariomycetes; Microascales; Microascaceae.